This 2412-nucleotide unclassified non-coding RNA is filed under the name Leishmania donovani. RNAcentral describes it as "gene:LdHU3.36.6030(CDS-product:WD_domain_G-beta_r epeat_putative)". The record is from RNAcentral. Lineage: Eukaryota; Euglenozoa; Kinetoplastea; Trypanosomatida; Trypanosomatidae.
CUUAUCAUUGCGCGCUAAUGCACGCGGUGGGACUCGAGCAAGUGCUAGUACUCGACUAAAGCGUAUGCUGGCUAUACAGAAGGUUUCAGCAAGCCAUGCCAAGCACUGCGGAGGAAUCGUUGCCGCCGCUUUUUGUACUGCAAGAGCAUGCAGAUCCGGUUCUUAGCUGCAGGUUCUACCCAUCGGAGGUUUACCAGCGGGAUGAAUCAAGCUGGUUCCUCUCGGGAGAUGCUGGUGGCCUCGUAGUGUUGUGGAACCUUUCCACAAGGCGCAAGAUGAUCUCGUUUUCCGCCUUGACGGAAGCCCAUCGGCAGCUCUGUGGCAUCUCACAACACCGUCGUAAUUGCGGCACGCCCGUAGCAGGUGGUUUGAUGCCGGAAAACGAGGUGCUGCUGGAGCAAGCUGGUACUCCGGCCUUCGGCCCACACAGUCAGAGCAUUUUGUCCGUGGGAUUCAUUCCUUUGUCGCUUUCGUCUCCACAGCCAACGGUAGUCACGGAGAACAGAAGAGUUGUUGCGGACGCAUUGGCGCGUGACUCAGAUGCAGAGGUAUCGAGCGGUGCUGUGUGCCCCGCCGUCUUUGACCAUGCCGCAAGGGGCACCAGUGAUUGGGCGCACCCAGGGCGGCCGCGAUUUCGGCUUUCCCGACGGGCACCAACCCGCAGCGUCAGUUCUGAGCAGGCGUCUUCUUCAACGGGGGACGUUCUGGAUAGCGGUGCGCCGGGUUCCGCCUUCACACCCUCGUCGACAAUUUGCUUUUACACACACUGCCGCGAUCAACGGGUGUACAUAUGGUGCCUGGAGCGCCAGUGCACUGAUGCACCUGCUUCUUCACCGGCCACCCGAGUACCGCAGCUUGUCGUGGUGCUCACAGCCCCGCAGCACGGCUUCUGUCCAGUGGAGAGCAUCUCGAAGGCCGCGAGCCCUUUCACGCGGACGUACCUCGCCGUUCCUCACGAGUCGGGAGGUGAGGUGACAAUCUGGGAAUUGUCGUGGCGACAGCCCAACACCGCGCGUCUCACGAAUUCAAGAGAGCUGGAAGGAAAAGGAGCUUCUGACGAUCCCCGCUCGUCGUCGGGGAAUGCGAACGCUUAUGAGGAAGAGGAGGAAGAGGUUAACACGUCAGGGAUGAAUCCGAUGGACGCUCUCAUUGCACGAGCAGCCGCAGAGGAGCAACGGCAGGCGAAGAUGAAGCAGAAGUCCACCAGAGUCUCGAGAGAAAGUGAUUUUCACCAUCCUUAUCCAUCCUCAGCUUUUCCCGAUUCUGUGGUUUCCAGGGGCGAACGCGCCUCGAUCCUGUGUUACGUUGACCCUGCAGCCACCACAACCUCCAGCAACUUCUCAGUCCGGCGCUUGUGCACUUUUUCGGCGUGCCCCACGUUCAAGGGAGGCACGAUCAUGCGCCUUACCAUGUGCCACGACGCGCAGCACCUUACUGUCGCAUUUGAGAGCGGCCACAUCGUGCUGGCUCGCUAUCGCGACGCGGACGUGAUUGACGUGGCAGACCAGCCGAGAGGGGCAUGUCACGCUGGUGGAUCUUUGCCUGUUGCCCGGGUGCGCAACGUCACCCGCGCUUUUGCCGACUCGGCGCUGGUCUGCUGGUGGAGUGGGCGACGCGUGCUUGCCUGCUCCUCGGAAGGAGGCAUGCACUGCUAUGACGUCUCGGCGACAGCGGAGGGCCUCUUGGAGGUGCACCUGGUGUGGAGUGUGACACUGCGCAAAGGGAUUGGUAGCGUCUUCUUGCAAAGGAAUCUCAUCGUGGCUGGCUGCUGGGACAGCACGCUGCGGCUGUACGACGCGCGCGAUGGGCGAAUCGUCAGCAUUCUCAGCUACCAAAGAGAGACGAUAAAUGAGGUGCGCACGGCACCGCCGUCGAUCGCGCGGGUGGCGGCGUUUGGGUUUGACGUGCGUAAGCCAAGGCUGUAUGCCGGCUUGCCUGGCGCCUUAUCAACCAAGAGCACGGCCUGCAUUGCAUCCAACUCGACGACCCUCACGCAGGGCAGCCUGCCACAAUUCAGUGAAUCGCCUUUGCGCGAAACCUACGUCGCAGGCACGCCGGCCCCACACAGCAGCUCGGAAUCGCUGGCUGCAGAGGAGCAGCUGGUAUACUUGUUUGCGUCUGCGAGUAAGGACUGCACUGUGGCGCUCUGGCGUGUGGACCUUGGACUGGUGGUGGAACAGACCGCUCGCGAAGCCAUCACUGCUUAAAGUCUGUGAAGAUGUGAGAUGGACAAAGCGAAAAGAAGGCAACACGAGAGCCUAAGGUUCCUUAUUGUGAUGAUUUCCAUGUUCCCACUCGUGCAGCCACGCUGGUGUGCGAGGCAACAAGCGAUGGCACAAGGGUGCGCAUCAUCAGAUGCCCAAGGCGGGUGGCCCUUGAUGGUUGAGACAGCACACGCCGCACAAUCCCUUC